This 394-nucleotide ribosomal RNA is filed under the name uncultured Bacteroidota bacterium. RNAcentral's name for it is "bacterial SSU rRNA". It matches the Rfam family "Bacterial small subunit ribosomal RNA", at positions 374 to 765 of the family's 1533-position model. The record is from RNAcentral. Lineage: Bacteria; Pseudomonadati; Bacteroidota.
GGCGAAAGCCAGAACCAGUCAUGCCGCGUGCAGGAUGAAGGCCCUACGGGUCGUAAACUGCUUUUAUUCGGGAAGAAAAAGUCUGUUUCCACAGACCUUGACGGUACCGAUUGAAUAAGGACCGGCCAACUCCGUGCCAGCAGCCGCGGUAAUACGGAGGGUCCAAGCGUUAUCCGGAUUCACUGGGUUUAAAGGGUGCGCAGGCGGCUAAGUAAGUCAGUGGUGAAAGCCUUCGGCUCAACCGGAGAAUUGCCAUUGAAACUACUUAGCUUGAGUGCAGUAGAGGUAGGCGGAAUGUAGCAUGUAGCGGUGAAAUGCAUAGAUAUGCUACAGAACACCGAUAGCGAAAGCAGCUUACCACACUGUAACUGACGCUGAGGCACGAAAGCAUGGG